GACGAACGCUGGCGGCGUGCUUAACACAUGCAAGUCGAACGGAAAGGCCCUGCUUUUGUGGGGUGCUCGAGUGGCGAACGGGUGAGUAACACGUGAGUAACCUGCCCUUGACUUUGGGAUAACUUCAGGAAACUGGGGCUAAUACCGGAUAGGAGCUCCUGCUGCAUGGUGGGGGUUGGAAAGUUUCGGCGGUUGGGGAUGGACUCGCGGCUUAUCAGCUUGUUGGUGGGGUAGUGGCUUACCAAGGCUUUGACGGGUAGCCGGCCUGAGAGGGUGACCGGCCACAUUGGGACUGAGAUACGGACCAGACUGAUACGGGAGGCAGCAGGGGGGAAUAUGGCACAAUGGGAGGAAGCCUGAUGCAGCAACGCCGCGUGCGGGAUGACGGCCUUCGGGUUGUAAACCGCUUUCGCCUGUGACGAAGCGUGAGUGACGGUAAUGGGUAAAGAAGCACCGGCUAACUACGUG
RNAcentral lists this ribosomal RNA (468 nucleotides) under uncultured bacterium. RNAcentral's name for it is "partial 16S ribosomal RNA". It matches the Rfam family "Bacterial small subunit ribosomal RNA", at positions 28 to 507 of the family's 1533-position model. The record is from RNAcentral.